RNAcentral lists this long non-coding RNA (263 nucleotides) under Elaeis guineensis (African oil palm). RNAcentral's name for it is "long non-coding RNA (EGUI_LNC077403)". Lineage: Eukaryota; Viridiplantae; Streptophyta; Magnoliopsida; Arecales; Arecaceae. The record is from RNAcentral.
UAGAGAGAUAAUUCUCUAUGGCAAAGAUACUAUCUCCAUUGAAGAUGUUAAGUCGUCUUUACCUAGUAAAGAGAACAUUGAUAGUCAUCUAAAUACUAGUGUUUCUGGCUCUAAUAUGGGGGAUGCCCUUGUUGGUAGAGAUAAAGGAAAGAAAAUGGAUAUUUAUGGUGGUAAAUAGAAGAAUAGGUCUAAGUCAAAGUAUAGGAACCUAGUCUAUAAUUACUACCGCAAGAAAGGACAGUUCUAAUGCAAAAAAUAAGCAA